RNAcentral lists this small RNA (174 nucleotides) under Gopherus agassizii (Agassiz's desert tortoise). RNAcentral describes it as "TUC338 (ENSGAGG00000019497.1)". Lineage: Eukaryota; Metazoa; Chordata; Testudines; Testudinidae. The record is from RNAcentral.
UUGAUAUCCCUGAAGGCUGAAAUCCUUUUAAUUUGUCCGCAAAACAGAGCAAGAGCGGCAGGAGUGCAAAUUAUCCAUAUAAUCCCAGCAAUAUGCCUCACUCUUGAACUGGUGAGGUCCUUCUAGGAGUGAGAGGGUAUUUCGUUCUACAUGCCCAUUCAGCUCUUGGCCUCU